Molecule: ribosomal RNA, 111 nt
Filed under: Dermacoccus nishinomiyaensis
Lineage: Bacteria; Bacillati; Actinomycetota; Actinomycetes; Micrococcales; Dermacoccaceae
Description: partial 16S ribosomal RNA
Rfam family: Bacterial small subunit ribosomal RNA
Source: RNAcentral
UUCUACGGAGAGUUUGAUCCUGGCUCAGGACGAACGCUGGCGGCGUGCUUAACACAUGCAAGUCGAACGAUGAAGCACCAGCUUGCUGGUGUGGAUUAGUGGCGAACGGGU